Molecule: long non-coding RNA, 815 nt
Organism: Acanthochromis polyacanthus (spiny chromis)
Lineage: Eukaryota; Metazoa; Chordata; Actinopteri; Pomacentridae
Exons: 3
Source: RefSeq, a predicted model, not a curated record
GACAAGUUUCUGUGUUGCUUAACUCCCACCAGCAUACCUCUAAUCUGUUCCCGUUUUUGUACUUGUGUUUCUGAAUUGCUGCCCAUUUUUGACCCUUUUGGAUGUGUUUGCCUGCACAAUAUCGCAUGUCUACAGUUUGGUCCUGUGGUUGUGGAUAUAAAUCUAAGACAUCCUCCCCGUGUUCGACGACGACGAUGUCACCUACAAAAUGGCCCCAAAGUGUGCCCUUCACAGGAUUACCACAGACCUGACCGUGAACACCGUUGACGUCCACCUGAGGGAGACGCUGUCUAAGAUCUCCAGGCUGCUUGGUCGUGACCUUUCUGGUCCUUCUCCAGAAUGCCUUCAUCAACUACGUCUUCUUUAGAAGAGGCCCUCAUCUGCUGCAAUCUCUGACCUUAAGGAGGAACUGCUACUUUCACUCUGCAACGAGACGGCGGUUAUUUUAAUUUAAAAGCUGAUAUCUAGAUGUUUUCCAUGGUUUUCUUGAUAAUAACCAAAAUCACUUCAGUUCUUACAUUUAUAGCUAUGGUAUUGUGCUGCCAAAAAAAGCUUUUAGGCAUUCCAUGUUUUCUUUUCUGUCUGUUUUAGUCACAUGACACACAGAGGAGUUAGUACUUGAUUGCAUAAUCAUUGUUUUUGAUGACUGCAGCUCUUUUUUUUUGGCAUUAUGUGAGAGCUGACAACUUCUAAGUAGUGCUACGUCUUGAACGUCAGCAGGAAACCACUCUAGGCCUUUACAUGUGCAGUGCUGCUUAUGACAUGAAAUGUCCUCUUAUAUACCCUGGGAAUACAAUAAAGCUUAAGCAUGUCAA